UGUUUUGUCAAUAUGUACUAUACUAAAACUGAAACAGCACAGAAAAGAUUAACACAACUAGUGUGCAAGGAUGGCACACACGUUUGUGAGUCAUUUCAUAUUUAU
This is a small nuclear RNA of Rhinolophus ferrumequinum (greater horseshoe bat), 105 nucleotides long. The record is from Ensembl. NCBI's taxonomy places the organism in Eukaryota, Metazoa, Chordata, Mammalia, Chiroptera, Rhinolophidae.